RNAcentral lists this long non-coding RNA (1157 nucleotides) under Dromaius novaehollandiae (emu). RNAcentral describes it as "lncRNA (ENSDNVG00000001188.1)". The record is from RNAcentral. Lineage: Eukaryota; Metazoa; Chordata; Aves; Casuariiformes; Dromaiidae.
UAAAUGACUUCCACGUAUCCUUUUUAAUAUACGUUUUCUUCAGAGAUGGUGUUGAAGCUGUUAAGCACAAUCCUAACUAAGGCUGAAAGCUUUUUUUAAAUGUGUGUCCCUCAGAACGCAUUUUUUCUGACACGCAGUUCCAGGAUUACUCCCAGUCUGUACUUCUGUCAGUGACACUACAUGUUUGUUGACAGGACACAGGUUUUAUUUUUAUCAGGUUAACAUGUCCAUAAUCAGGCUCUGAACUUUGCUCUGGUGUGUUUUGUGAAAUGCUCUAGAAAAUGCCUUUAUUCGUAGUCCCUUGCAGGUUUGUAUUCACUUUACAAAUUACAUAUCUGUAAGUGGGAAAAAACUGUACUCUCAAGGGCACAUUUGUUAAGCCCUUUUUAGGAAUGACAUUGUAUAUUUUACUGUCAGUUUUGGUAAACACUGGCCUUCUCUAAAUCAAAAUGAGAAAUAUUUUACAGACUGAGCCCAAUACCCUUCACCUGAGAGCACUGACACCAGUUUUGAUAGUUCAUGGGUUGUAUAAAUACUGGUUUUGAUCCUGUUGUAAGCAAUACCUCAUUGUGCCAAUUUGUUUUUUGCAGGUAUCAAUGGACAGCCUGGGCAGCCACAGUAUUAGUUGCUGUGGCGCCCGCUUCCUGUCUCUAACACCCGUAAUUAGAGACAAGCCCAGGAGGAGAAACAAGACUGAUUCCUUGAAGAGCUCAUCUGGAGGAUCAGAAAGGACAGAGUGGAUGGCUUUGGUGCAAGCUCUGAGCUUGGCACUCUCUGGAGCUGGGUCAGGCAGAAGGAAGCGUGGAGGCCAAGGAGAUCUGCCUCUCCCAUCCCUGGAGGAGAGCCGGCUUGCACACUGCUCUCCGAGCUCCUUCUCUCCUGUUCGGACUGCCUCAUGGACUGGAAAGAAGUGGAAGAUCCAUGGGGCCAGAGGAAAAGCAAGCAAGGGAGAAUGGCCUCUUGGCUAGUGGUUAAGAGAGGGGAACUGGGGGUUCAGGUCUCAGCUCCAAGGUCUGCCUAUUCAUUUUGUGUCAUGCAGUCAGGAAAAGGCUUUAUGAUGUUUGUAUUUAGGUCUGAAUGGGGAGGGCACUUGAUUGAUUUACUCUAGUGACGUGUUUCUCUUUGUUGUAUCAAUAAAGAUAUUUGCACAGAAUGCA